Non-coding RNA from Pelobates cultripes (western spadefoot toad), 257 nucleotides. The record is from the annotation of a GenBank genome assembly. Lineage: Eukaryota; Metazoa; Chordata; Amphibia; Anura; Pelobatidae.
GGGAAGGGGUGACUAGUGACAGAGUGAGGAAGGGGGUGACUAGUGACUGAGGGAGGGGUGACUAGGGACAGAGUGAGGGAGGUGGUGACUAGUGACUAGUGACAGUCACCACCUCCCUCACUCUGUCACUAGUCACCCCCUCCCUCACUCUGUCACUGUGUCACCCCCUCCCUCUGUCACUGGUCACCCACUCCCUCCCUCACUCACUCUGUCACCAGUCAUCCCCUCACUCUGUCACUAGUAACCCCUUCCUUCCC